GAUAUCUAUAUUUAGCAUGGGAAACACUUAUGGCAAGUAGUUUCGUAUUAAAUAAAAAGUUUAACAAAAGGGACUCAUAAUUUUAUUGACAGAAUUCACAAUCUAGGAGGAAGUUGUUUAGAAGCGAUUGAUUUAAAAAUCGCCGCUUAUAAAGCAAGUAUGGAUUACAAUUGGAAAUUCGUUUUAAUUGUAACUGUCUUGCUAUAUGCAGGAGGCAAGAAUAGUAGCACAGAAGCCAAAAAGCAGUCUCCAGUACCUGUUAAAUAUUUUACACCAGAAGUUAUGACACCUAUCUUUGAAGUGAUGCGUAGGUAUGGGGAAGCUAAAAGAGAUAAAGUCGACAAUAAAAUUAAUCAACAUCUUCUUAUAACAAUUGUGUCCGAUGACGAAAUUGACCAAGCCAAAAAUUGGGGAAGAUCGUUUCCGAAGAACUUUAAUAAAAAACUGAGGCUUCGUUUUCUUCUGAACAAACGUGACCACGGAAAAAAAGAUUUCAAUCCCAGCCGGGAGCUACACGGUGAAGUAAAUGCUCUUUACACUGGUGAGAUUAAUACAUAGAUGAAUGACUUCAAAAACAACCGAAUGACAAAAUAUAAAUAUCCAAUUAUAUUGAUUUAUUCUCAUUACAUACCCUGUGCGGGGGUGCCAAACUUGGGCUACUCGUGCUCAGAAGAGCUGAUGAACUAUGCCAAAGGAAAAAUAAAUAAUUUUAUCAUGCUUGUAGCUUAUUCGACCACUUUUAAGAACACUGACGAAAAGAGUUCGUUUGAUUUUAUGAGGAACGGAGGAAUUAAUGCAUUUAUGCGUAUGCCUGAUGGUUCAUAUGCCCAUACAUUAAAAGUUAACCCUCCAAGCAGCAUCGAUGGUAUAAAAAGAACAUUUCAAAGGGAAACAUAUGAUUGUAUAUCUGACGUCCAACCAUCAAAGUGUUUCGCAAGUCACCAAAAGAAUAGAGCUGCAAUCACAACAUAUUUCAUAAAUUAUUUAACAUACCAGUGUAUUUCUAAAUCAAAAGCCACCGGCUUGUUUACAGAAUUAUCAAAAAAUCAACUGAAAGCAUGUCUUAAAGAAGAAAUUGAUAAAAACAUUGGAGACGACUGUGUACAGUGCAGUAAGAAAAACACAGAAUCGAUUCAAGCUACAAAAUUAUAUUUUCAGCUUUGUUUUAAUCGUUCAAUCGAAGUUUCCAAGGGUUUGGGUAAACCACGCUCUAAUAAUGAUAUUCCUGACUGGGAGCCGUGUCAGAAUCGUGCCUGGAAUGAAAUAUACAGUCCUCCUGGACCAAGGAGGAAUAAGGAUAAGCUGUCAAGAGUGGUGUGUGAAAACAGGGUUGAUUCUAAGGAGUCACUGCGUUCGCAUUUUGAAGAGAACAAAAAGUCGAGCUUUAGCAAGCCAUUUUUGAAAAAUAAAUGGUAUGCGUCACUCCCUUAACCAUGAAAUCAUGACGUACUCGAAAAAACUAUUUGACUAUUAUGCACUUGACCAUGUAAUGGCUGUAAUUUGAGCUGAAUGAAGAAAUUGAUAUUAAAGCAAUUGUACUAUAA
This is a long non-coding RNA of Mytilus californianus (California mussel), 1544 nucleotides long. RefSeq lists it as uncharacterized. The record is from RefSeq and is a predicted model, not a curated record. The transcript is spliced from 2 exons. Lineage: Eukaryota; Metazoa; Mollusca; Bivalvia; Mytilida; Mytilidae.